Molecule: long non-coding RNA, 209 nt
Filed under: Drosophila guanche
Lineage: Eukaryota; Metazoa; Arthropoda; Insecta; Diptera; Drosophilidae
Source: RNAcentral
ACCACAGCGCACCACAUUUUCCAAAAACAAAUUCCACGCCCACGCCCCUCGCCCCACGCCUACACUUUCACUUUUAGCUUUCUCCGGCCCUUUGGGUUGUGGGGCUUGUGUUCCAUGGACACACUUUAAUCCUUUUUGAUGGUUUUUUGAGCGUUUAAAGUGUGCCCGGCAAUGUCGAACAUUUUAUAUAACAAUUAUAUAAAUUUCCG